Molecule: long non-coding RNA, 1275 nt
Filed under: Triticum aestivum (bread wheat)
Lineage: Eukaryota; Viridiplantae; Streptophyta; Magnoliopsida; Poales; Poaceae
Description: long non-coding RNA (TAES_LNC022693)
Source: RNAcentral
UUUAAUUCAAACUGACCAUUUCUUUUUGUUCCGAACUAAUCACCGUUUUUAACUCGUACUGAUCAAUAUUUGUAAUUCAAACCAUUUUAUCCUUUCAUAUGACAAAAAUUAUUCAUCUCCCCUGACCUCUUAAAAUUCAAGACUCAGGCACAAACAUCCUCAUCUUAGCCGGACAGGCUAAUUCAUUCGCAUGUAGAGCAACAAUAACAAUACUCCAAACAUACCAAGGGACGUCAUACCAGAAAAACAAUGCACCAACGGGUUCUCUCCAGUGGCAAAAUCGACAAUUUUUGAACUUGCACGACAUCUAAACAAGAACUACAUGAUACACAAUUUUCCAUCAUGCACCUGCUAUCCUAAACAUAAAUGAAAUGAGAGAAGGGUAUCCUGAACAUCUAAACAAGAACUUGCAAUUUUUUCCAUCAUGCACCCAGAGGUUCUACCUUCUCCCCCGGCACUGAAAUAAGAGCACCAUCAGUUUAGUUUUAAAUAAAUUGAAAGUUCGAACAUGAGGCAUGUAGGUUUUCAAAUGAUGAAAGUCACAAAAGUGAGCUAUUUUUGUUUUACUUCAAAUAAUUCAACAUGAAAAAGAAAAAUACAGAUAAAUAUUUUUUUGUGCGACAUUCUGAGGCAUAUGUCAGUUCAACCUUUUUAACUACUUUUUUGCACAACGAGAUGAUGUUAUUGAACUGGCUAGGUACAUUCAGUUUUACCUAGUAUGGUUGGACUAGUAAUGCAAGCACUACUUCCAACAUUUUAUAGAGAUCAGUAGCCAUCCAACUAUGAAAUGCAUGCAAACCCAAUCUGCAUACACUAGCGAACAUUGAAACAAAGAACCCAUGUUUGUAAACUUUGAACUUUUGUAUGCGUUUUCCCUCAACUUAUUGUAUCCGUGAGUCUGAACUGAUGCAAGUAUAUAAGAAUACCAAACAUUUAUUACCUAAACUUGAAAAGGAUCUGAGACAGGUUGCCCUGGAACUGCAACUUGUAUCUUUUACUGCUCAUCUUUAACAUUAAGAAAGUACUAAUCAGUACUAGUAUUUUGUGUAAGUCAUACUGGUCAGUACUGCUGCUUGCCGUCCUGAUGAGCACUAGUACUGAUUGCUAACACAGAAUUACAAGAAAAAUGGCCUUCAUGGAUAGUAGUAUGUGAACUUAAGAGUAGGAGAGGAGGAGCACGAAGGUGUUUCUCACCAAUCAUGCUCCUAAUGGCGUGUUGGAUGGCAACCAUGGUUGAACAGGAGGUUGAGGCGUCACGGCAGGAACUCCAGGGCU